GAUGAAGAACGCAGCGAAAUGCGAUAAGUAAUGUGAAUUGCAGAAUUCAGUGAAUCAUCGAAUCUUUGAACGCACAUUGCGCCCCUUGGUAUUCCGAGGGGCAUGCCUGUUCGAGCGUCAUUAUAACCCCUCAAGCUCAGCUUGGUGUUGGGGCCUGCUGCACUGGCAGCCCUUAAAAUCAGUGGCGGCGCCAUCUGGCUCUAAGCGUAGUAAUUCUUCUCGCUAUGGAGUCCUGGUGGAUGCUUGCCAUCAACCCCCAAUUUUUCUAUGGUUGACCUCGGAUCAGGUAGGGAUACCCGCUGAGUUUAAGCAUAUCAAUAAGCGGAGGA
Molecule: unclassified non-coding RNA, 329 nt
Filed under: soil metagenome
Description: partial contains 5.8S ribosomal RNA, internal transcribed spacer 2, and large subunit ribosomal RNA
Rfam family: 5.8S ribosomal RNA (bases 1-120)
Source: RNAcentral